This 263-nucleotide ribosomal RNA is filed under the name uncultured bacterium. RNAcentral describes it as "partial 16S ribosomal RNA". It matches the Rfam family "Bacterial small subunit ribosomal RNA", at positions 793 to 1055 of the family's 1533-position model. The record is from RNAcentral.
GUCCAUGCCGUAAACGAUGUCUACUAGCCGUUGGGGCCUUUGAGGCUUUAGUGGCGCAGCUAACGCGAUAAGUAGACCGCCUGGGGAGUACGGUCGCAAGACUAAAACUCAAAUGAAUUGACGGGGGCCCGCACAAGCGGUGGAGCAUGUGGUUUAAUUCGAUGAUACGCGAGGAACCUUACCUGGUCUUGACAUAGUAAGAACUUUCCAGAGAUGGAUUGGUGCCUUCGGGAACUUACAUACAGGUGCUGCAUGGCUGUCGU